GAUGAAGAACGUAGCGAAAUGCGAUACGUAAUGUGAAUUGCAAAUUCAGUGAAUCAUCGAGUCUUUGAACGCACAUUGCGCCCCCUGGUAUUCCGGGGGGCAUGCCUGUCCGAGCGUCAUUGCUGCCCUCAAGCACGGCUUGCGUGUUGGGCCCCGUCCUCCGAUCCCGGGGGACGGGCCCGAAAGGCAGCGGCGGCACCGCGUCCGGUCCUCGAGCGUAUGGGGCUUUGUCACCCGCUCUGUAGGCCCGGCCGGCGCUUGCCGAUCAACCCAAAUUUUUUAUCCAGGUUGACCUCGGAUCAGGUAGGGAUACCCGCUGAACUUAAGCAUAUCAAUAAGCGGAGGA
This 346-nucleotide unclassified non-coding RNA is filed under the name soil metagenome. Its description in RNAcentral is "partial contains 5.8S ribosomal RNA, internal transcribed spacer 2, and large subunit ribosomal RNA". The stretch from base 1 to 119 matches the Rfam family "5.8S ribosomal RNA", at positions 35 to 154 of the family's 154-position model. The record is from RNAcentral.